Acanthosepion pharaonis is the source of this 107-nucleotide non-coding RNA. The record is from the annotation of a GenBank genome assembly. NCBI's taxonomy places the organism in Eukaryota, Metazoa, Mollusca, Cephalopoda, Sepiida, Sepiidae.
CCAUAUCACACUGAAACAUUGGUUCACAUCCAAUCACCAAAGUUAAGCAACAUCAAGCCUGGUCAGUAAUCAGAUAUGUGACCACUUGGGAAUACCAGGUGUUGUAU